GUCCCUCUGGGGACAUCCGAUAAAAUUGGAACGAUAAAGAGAAUGUUAACAUGGUUUCUACAUAAAGAUAACACGCAUAAAUCGAGAAAUGGUCUAAAUUUUU
Small nuclear RNA from Ziziphus jujuba (common jujube), 103 nucleotides. The record is from RefSeq and is a predicted model, not a curated record. NCBI's taxonomy places the organism in Eukaryota, Viridiplantae, Streptophyta, Magnoliopsida, Rosales, Rhamnaceae.